This is a long non-coding RNA of Priapulus caudatus, 299 nucleotides long. RefSeq lists it as uncharacterized. The transcript has 2 exons. Lineage: Eukaryota; Metazoa; Priapulida; Priapulimorpha; Priapulimorphida; Priapulidae. The record is from RefSeq and is a predicted model, not a curated record.
GACAGUGGCCCGCAGGCGUACAAAUCAUACGCGGCAAAUCACGGGGACGUGUGAGAGCACAUGUUCAGAAACAUGACUUAUCAGUGACUGAGUGGAAUAUUAACUAGAUCCAAUGUAUUAUUUACAUAUGAAAUUUGUAACGACAUUCGUUUCUAAAAGGCUGACCGAUGAAUUAUUUUACCAUAAGGUCAAAAUUUCAUUUACAAAUUGAUAUACAUUGGUGGUUUUACUUAAAGCUUUUAAUCACGCGUUCAUGCUUUAAUUUAACCAAUAUAUCCUCUAAUAAUAUUUAAAUAAUA